RNAcentral lists this ribosomal RNA (468 nucleotides) under uncultured bacterium. Its description in RNAcentral is "partial 16S ribosomal RNA". It matches the Rfam family "Bacterial small subunit ribosomal RNA", at positions 28 to 507 of the family's 1533-position model. The record is from RNAcentral.
GACGAACGCUGGCGGCGUGCUUAACACAUGCAAGUCGAACGGAAAGGCCCUGCUUUUGUUGGGUGCUCGAGUGGCGAACGGGUGAGUAACACGUGAGUAACCUGCCCUUGACUUUGGGAUAACUUCAGGAAACUGGGGCUAAUACCGGAUAGGAGCUCCUGCUGCAUGGUGGGGGUUGGAAAGUUUCGGCGGUUGGGGAUGGACUCGCGGCUUAUCAGCUUGUUGGUGGGGUAGUGGCUUACCAAGGCUUUGACGGGUAGCCGGCCUGAGAGGGUGACCGGCCACAUUGGGACUGAGAUACGGCCCAGAAUGCUACGGGAGGCAGCAGUGGGGAAUAUUGCACAAUGGGCGGAAGCCUGAUGCAGCAACGCCGCGUGCGGGAUGACGGCCUUCGGGUUGUAAACCGCUUUCGCCUGUGACGAAGCGUGAGUGACGGUAAUGGGUAAAGAAGCACCGGCUAACUACGUG